CUGCAUCUCUGGGCUCUUGUGUGGGGAAGCAGAUCCUAGAUGCCCCCUGAGGACACCCACUGGUGUGACCAAUGUCUCACAGCCACCAAGGAGGCGCGAAACAGGUGCCUGAGAAGGUUUUUUUCUUUUUUCUUUUUACCAUCGUCUGCCAAUAUGUCCUGUGUCCCCUUCAGCUCUCCUCUGACCUGGCUGAGAUUCUGCAGAUGCUGACCUGGCCCAAGAGGGUGGAGGCAGGUGGUGGGCACAGGAGAGUCGCCAAGUCAAUGGCUCUGCUGUCAACAAGGGAGCAUCUAGCAAUUUCCUCGGUCCAGAAGAUGUGACCGGAGGCCACCUUCUCUUUCAUUUCUAAAAGAAAUGAGACGCACCGUUCUGUUGAGGAGAUUGGCACAGAUUGAGAAGAAGAUUCUCACUUGAGUCAGCAGGUGGACCUGUAAGAGCACUCCCACCUGUCUUUAGGGUUAACUUGCUUCAAGCUUCUUGCUUGCUGACCUAAACCCCAUAUUUUUUCCAAGUCCAAGUCCCAAGUCCCCUACUUCUCCUUGAGAUCCUGCAGACCCCUGGCUUUGAGAUACAAUGGACCAGGCUUUCCAGAAGGGGAGGCACCACUGUCCUCAAUGAUGGGUUCCUGGUGCAAGGAAGGCUCUGCAUGCAGCUUGUUGGGCUGCCGGACUAGCCUUUGCUGGGAGACACCUGGGGGCCUUGAUCACUGGCCAAUUGCUGGGGGAAUCUGGAAGCCGAGUACCUGCUUCUCCUGCACAGUUUCUGUGCCUUCCCCUUUAAGCCUUCUGGCUCCUCCUGAAUGGAAGAGAAGAUUCUUUGAGACUUUAGUCUACCAUCUUCCCUGUUGCCAGCUUCCUUAAUAAGGCAACCUUUUGGGGUGCCUGGGUGGCUCAGUUGGUUAAGCGUCUGCCUUCAGCUCAGGUCAUGAUCCCAGGGUCCUGAGGUCGAGCUCCACAUUGGGCUCCCUGCUUAGUGGGGAGGUGCUCCUGAGCCCUGCUCAUGUGCUCUCUCUCUCUCUCUCUCUCUCAAAUAAAUAAAUAAAAUCUUCAAUAAUAAUAAGGCAACCUUUCCUUUCCCACCAAUGCUUGUGUCUUGAGAUUGGCUUUCUGGGUAGCAAGCAGCCGAACCUGAGUUCAGAAUUGGUCCUCUGUCCCAUAACAAGGGGAUGGGGAGUCUGACUUUCUCAUGCUUUUGGAGUGUAGGUUGUUUUUUGGGACAGACUUGGUGAUAGCUGUCAGUGUCCUUCAGCUGAGCACCAUCAGGAGGACACUGGGAGUUGAGCAAAUGUGGAUUUAUCAUCUCACUGCAGGGAGGGGGGCGCACACCCAGGACACCAAGGAGCAUCUCCGUGAGACGGUGUUUGGAAGGACCAAUAUGAGACAUGGGCUUGUAUUUUAUUUGGGGAGAAGUUUCAAAGAAAAGUGAUUUUUAUGCGCAAAAGAAUUGAUAUCGGGGACUCAAGCAGAUAGUUGUACACCCAUAAGCUGAGAGACAUAAAAUAGAUUCCAGGUUACCGUGGGUGGUGAGAUGGGGGGGUAUGGGGAGUCAGUGUUUAAUGGGAACACACUUUCGGCUCAGGAUGAUGGAAAAAGCCCAGGAGACGGAUGGUGGUGCUGGUUGUACAACAUUGUGGAUGUACUUAACACCACUGACUAGUGUGUUUAAAAAUGGGAAAAAGGAUACAUUUUGGGUUUUGUAGAUUUUAUCACAAUUUUUAAAAAAAUAUUUUACUUAUUCUAUUUUAGACAAAGACCAAGAUGAGGAAGUGGGCAGAGGGAGACAAUCUUAAGCAGACUCCAUGCUGAGCACACAGUCCGAUGGGGGGCUCGAUCCCAUUAUUGGCAAACGCAUCCUCCCCAGGCAGGCUUGGUUUUCCCCAUCUGUGCAAUAGGAUUAUCUCAGGGUCUGCUGACAUCUGCUCCGGAGAGAACCUGUCACAGCAGCUGGGAGAACCCACCUCGGGCCCCAUAGCUUUGUUCCCCAGGGCAAAGCCACCGGUUACCUGCCUGGCCUCUACCCUGUAGCAAGAUCACACGGUGUAACUGUCUGGAGAACCAGCUUCCCUCCCUAGCACCUCCCCAAAGUGAUUUUCAAAAUUUGUGCGCAUCAGAAUCCCCUAGAAGGCUUGUUAAAACCCAGACUACCGUGCCUCCCCCGGAUCCCACCCCCCUCAGCUUCAGAUUCAAUGGGUCUGGGGGCAGGUCCCCAAAUUAGCAUUUCAGGCAAGUUCCCAAAUGAUAGCUGAUGCAUCUGGUUGAAUUAGGGAUGAAUCAGGGACUGUACUUUGAGAACCACCUCUGUAAGGUGCCUGCCUCCCUCAUUCACUUAGGCCCCUACCCCUGGCCUUGGUCCUAGAGCUUAGCUUCUUUUAGGGGCAAGAAGAGGCCAGCCAGGCAGAAAGAGGAGGAUGGAGAGGUGAGCCAGGGCAGGAUCCUGUCUGGCCUUGGAGGAGCUCUGAGAUAAGAUAGGAUAGGCGGAUAUGAGCAACAAAGGCAAAUGGAAAAUAUAUACAAAAGAGAGAGAAAUUCAAACACAUUUUUCUUUUUCUUCUUUUUUUUUUUCAGAUUUUAUUUAUUUAUUCAUGAGACACACAGGGAGAGGCAGGCUCCCUCCAGGGAACCUGAUGUAGGACUCAAUCCCAGGACCCCGGGAUCAUGACCUGAGCCAAAGGCAGAUGCUCAGCCACUGAGCCACCCAGGCAUCCCUCAAACGCAUUUUUCUUCUAUGCCAGGCACUAUUCUAAGUGCUUAAUAAUCAUUAACUGGGGUCUCAGCUGGCCGCAUCCCCAACCUUCAGAUCUCCCUCUGCCCUCUGGGUUGGGUGGACAGGACAACAUCCUCCAUCCCUCGUGGCCCCUUCCACAUAAAUUCUCUGUACUUCCGUAUUUUCGUGUUUUCCAGAAUCUUCCCUCCUGCCCCCAAAUGACCCAGCUUCCAAAUUCCAAUACAGUUUUUAAGAUUCUGUGUCCUCCUGUCCAUCCAUCUGUCCACACAUCUUUCCAUCAUUCCCCCCUUCUACCUAGCUAUAUCCCCCACUGGUUCUGAGAACAGAGGUUUCUUGAACCGGACUUGGUGAACAAAACAGAGAGGCCAGGAGGUAUGGACACUUGGCAAGAGGACACGGGCACAGGUUCGCCCACAGCUGGGAGUGAGAGGGAGCAAGAGGCAAAGCUGAGGGCAAAGCUCAGGCUGACACCCUGCAACCCCACCCCCGACUUCCAGGUGGGAUCUGUGUGAUAUUCCUCAGGCACUCCUGGCUGCCCAAAAA
This 3267-nucleotide long non-coding RNA is filed under the name Canis lupus familiaris (dog). RNAcentral describes it as "lncRNA (ENSCAFG00030009927.1)". Lineage: Eukaryota; Metazoa; Chordata; Mammalia; Carnivora; Canidae. The record is from RNAcentral.